GCCUGCCCGGUGCCGGAAGGUUAAUUGAUGGGGUGCAAGCUCUUGAUCGAAGCCCCGGUAAACGGCGGCCGUAACGAUAACGGUCCUAAGGUAGCGAAAUUCCUUGUCGGGUAAGUUCCGACCUGCACGAAUGGCGUAACGACAGCGGCGCUGUCUCCACCCAAGGCUCAGUGAAAUUGAAAUCGCUGUGAAGAUGCAGCGUUCCCGCGGCAAGACGGAAAGACCCCGUGAACCUUUACUAUAGCUUCACACUGAACGUUGAGUUCGUCUGUGUAGGAUAGGUGGGAGCCUACGAAGCGUUGGCGCUAGCUGAUGUGGAGGCAACCUUGAAAUACCACCCUGAUGUGCUUGACGUUCUAACCUGGGUCCGUAAUCCGGAUCGGGGACAGUGUGUGGUGGGUAGUUUGACUGGGAG
Molecule: ribosomal RNA, 415 nt
Filed under: uncultured bacterium
Lineage: Bacteria
Description: bacterial LSU rRNA
Rfam family: Bacterial large subunit ribosomal RNA
Source: RNAcentral